AGUGAACGCUGGCGGCGUGCCUAAUACAUGCAAGUCGAGCGGAAAGGCCCUUCGGGGUACUCGAGCGGCGGACGGGUGAGUAACGCGUAAGAAUGUACCCCAAACUGAGGGAUAACUGCUCGAAAGAGUAGCUAAUACCGCAUGUGCUCUUCGGAGUAAAGCUUCGGCGGUUUGGGAACAGCUUGCGUAGGAUUAGCUAGUUGGUAAGGUAAUGGCUUACCAAGGCGACGAUCCUUAGCUGGUCUGAGAGGAUGAUCAGCCACACUGGGACUGAGACACGGCCCAGACUCCUACGGGAGGCAGCAGUAGGGAAUUUUCCACAAUGGGGGCAACCCUGAUGGAGCAACGCCGCGUGAUGGAUGAAGGCCUUCGGGUUGUAAACAUCUUUUGUCUGUGACGAAUAUGACGGUAGCAGACGAAUAAGGAUCGGCUAACUACGUGCCAGCCGCCGCAGUAA
This 457-nucleotide ribosomal RNA is filed under the name uncultured bacterium. Its description in RNAcentral is "partial 16S ribosomal RNA". It matches the Rfam family "Bacterial small subunit ribosomal RNA", at positions 29 to 523 of the family's 1533-position model. The record is from RNAcentral.